GACGAACGCUGGCGGCGUGCUUAACACAUGCAAGUCGAACGGAAAGGCCCCUUUGGGGGUACUCGAGUGGCGGACGGGUGAGUAACACGUGAGUAACCUGCCCUUGACUUCGGGAUAACUUCAGGAAACUGGGGCUAAUACCGGAUAGGAAUCCUUGCUGCAUGGUGGGGGUUGGAAAGCUUCGGCGGUUUUGGAUGGACUCGCGGCUUAUCAGCUUGUUGGUGGGGUAGUGGCUUACCAAGGCGUUGACGGGUAGCCGGCCUGAGAGGGCGACCGGCGACAUUGGGACUGAGGGACGGCCCAGACUCCUACGGGAGGGAGCAGUGGGGAAGACUGCACAAUGGGCGGAGGCCUGAUGCAGCAACUCCGCGUGCCGGAUGACGGCCUUCGUGGUGUAAACCGCUUUCAGCAGGAGCGAAGCUUGUGGUGACGGUACCUGCAGAAGAAGCACCGGCUAACUACGUG
This 465-nucleotide ribosomal RNA is filed under the name uncultured bacterium. RNAcentral describes it as "partial 16S ribosomal RNA". It matches the Rfam family "Bacterial small subunit ribosomal RNA", at positions 28 to 507 of the family's 1533-position model. The record is from RNAcentral.